Molecule: long non-coding RNA, 3334 nt
Filed under: Mus musculus (house mouse)
Lineage: Eukaryota; Metazoa; Chordata; Mammalia; Rodentia; Muridae
Description: predicted gene 17094
Source: RNAcentral
AUCAUAAUCUACAGAGGAGAUAGUGCAGCCUUGUCUUGCUUCUGGCCAUAAAUGGAAAGCAUUUUUCACAGAUGAAUCUGUGCCUUUUGUGUAUCCUUUUAGUAAUAUGAAGGAAGAAUAUGGCAUUGGCAGAGAGACCAGAUCUUCAAGAUCUCAGCACUCAGAAAUGAAAAUGUGUGUUAAUGUGGUAAUCCACUGGGAAAGGACUCUUCACAUGAUGCCAGACUGACAAAAAUGCAGGAAAAAUUACAUUGACCAAGUAUUAAUACCUGAAAUGCAUUUAUGAGUUUUAAGACCUGGCAUUGAGAUAUGUCAACUCUUGGUAGUACCUCAUUUGAUUUAGAAGGAGAUGAUGAGCAUCAAAAUCCUUCCUAUGGAGUUGCUUCAAUUAUGGCAAGCUAACCACAGGGCAAAGAAAAUGCUCUUGCUUCAUCUACAGAGAGAAUGCUGUCCAGAAAAUGCUCUUACUUCAUCUACAGAGAGAAUGCUGUCCAGAAAAUGCUCUUACUUCAUCUACAGAGAGAAUGCUGUCCAGAAAAUGCUCUUACUUCAUCUACAGAGAGAAUGCUGUCCAGAAAAUGUUCUUACUUCAUCUACAGAGAGAAUGCUGUCCAGAAAAUGCUUUUACUUCAUCUACAGAGAGAAUGCUGUCCAGAAAAUGCUCUUACUUCAUCUACAGAGAGAAUGCUGUCCAGAAAAUGCUCUUACUUCAUCUACAGAGAGAAUGCUGUCCAGAAAAUGCUCUUGCUUCAUCUACAGAGAGAAUGCUAUCCAGAAAAUGCUCUUACUUCAUCUACAGAGAGAAUGCUGUCCAGAAAAUGCUCUUACUUCAUCUACAGAGAGAAUGCUGUCCAGAAAAUGCUCUUACUUCAUCUACAGAGAGAAUGCUGUCCAGAAAAUGCUCUUACUUCAUCUACAGAGAGAAUGCUGUCCAGAAAAUGCUCUUACUUCAUCUACAGAGAGAAUGCUGUCCAGAACGGACAGAAGAGAAGUCAGCUGCCAAGUUCUGCCUAGAUGAGUAAACAAGUCCUUCAUAAUUCCUGCUUCACAAAACGUCUGUCAGAUAUUCUGGACCAGAAGGAUGAAGAUAGAUGCUUCAGAGUUCUAGAGAAUAUUGGGGACUGUUCAGCCUUGGUGAGCUUCCAUUUAGCAGAAAUUGUUCCUAGCCCACAUGUCUGGAUCAGCCCCAAGAAGCUUCUAGAAGGUGGAUAACCGGAGCCACUUUAAAAAGGUGGCACAUGUGACAAGUGGGCACAAACAAACCUCCAAACAAAAUGGUCAUACUGGAAGCCUCUUCUUUCAAGAAGGAAAACACAGCAAAUGCAGAGUCACGGGCCUUGAACAGGCAGAAUGAUUACUGACUUCUGAGAACAAAAGAAUAUGAGAAAAGACUUUGGAGGUAAAACCCACAGAGAAGAGGCAUUGGGAUGCAUAAAUGACAUCACUUAUGCCAUCUGCUUCACUUUUAAAGUAGGAAACAACACAUUAUUCUGAAAUACUGCAUACAGUCAUACAGUGAGGACAGAUGACCGUCCCAGGCACCAAAAUGGCACAGUGAGUUCUGCCACCGUGAGCAAAACUGAUCUCACCAGGUCUGGAAGGCUCAUCAUGGUUCCAUGGAUCAAAGGCACCCUGGAUGCUCUGGACCUGUGCAAUUGAUCCUGACUUCAGGCUGAUUAUAGUGAGGUACUCCAGGGUUUGAACAUACUGAAAGACCAGCACACUCCUUAAUUAUAUUAUUCUACAUAAUCAUAUUAUGUAGCAAUUUUCAUCCAGUUAAAAUAUUCUUUACUUGAGGAAGUCUUCUUAAGGAUUAGGAGGCCUUAAGUGGAAACAUUGCUUCCAGAAAUGUUGAAGAGACUUCGGAAGCAAACUCGGAAGUCUCAAGAAGCUCCUGAAUCUGACAAGGCUCCGUUCCCCCUGCUUAGAGCAACCUGUGGAUCCUGAGAGAGGAAGCGAGGCCGGGAGGCUGGAGCGAAAGAGACUGAACAAACAGCAAUUGAGCAAGGCACAAACAGACUCUUGAGGCCGGUUCAGUGAGACAGCUCCUUCAAUGGGAGGAACAAAGGCUUUGAGGGCCAUAUUCACAUCUGGGAAGCACUCUGCUAGCAGCAUGAAAGCAGUUUUUGAAUAGAGAGUUAUUAAAAGGUUGGUGACCCAGGACUGGCAAUCCUGGGGUUGUCUUGAGUGACCAUUGCACUCGAUCAAGGGUUAUGAAACACAUAUCACGUGGGAUCUCUGAUGGUGAAAAUAACAUCAUCUCUCUAGCUGAUUGUGCGAAUCACACCAUCCCUCUAACCAACUGUGCAAACCCUGUCUCUUCCCUAUUGACCGAGGAAAUCACAUCAUCUCUCUAAAAUUAGUCUUCCUUUCUGAAAAGCAAGCCUAAGCGGAGGUCCUGUUCUGAUUUUCUGACCCGGUGGGUGACUGUGUUAGGGCAGCUUGCCUGUGUUUCUUUCUUUAUCAUUCUGUCUGCACUGUCUUUUAUUACUGUGUACUGUCAGCAGCAACAAUUUCCUCAAAGUUUAAAAUAGCAAAAGUGUACAAAGGUGGAAAAAAAAAUACAAAGCUUUAUCUUGCCCUCUAAGAAGCCCCAUGGUGUGACUUUCCCAGGUACUUCAGAUCUCCUGGAGACCUGUAACGUGUCCUCGUAUCUUUACCUUCUUUGGAUGGUAGGAACUCACAUCUACAAGGCUGUAUUUCAAGAGGAGAUGACAGACAUUUGUGAGAUUUUAGUGUUUCUAGCAUUGCCCUUGUCAUUUAAUGACUCCUCCCCAAGUGUGGCACUCAGCAUGGUGGUGCUGACUUCAGCUCCAGUCAUGUUUGAUCUCUUGCCUUCAUGCUGAAUGACUAUUCCAUGUCUCCGGGGCACUGUGUUUUUCUGUUGCUAUCCUAGUUCCUUAGUGCCACCCUGGCUUUUCUCUAAAGUGCUGCCACCACCCCUGCAGUGCUCACCAAACACUGUCAACAACCUCUCUUGAGUUUACACAGCCACCCCUCUUAUCCCUGACUGCCUGCAGCAAAAAGAAAGAAAUUGCGCCUCCAUCUUCCUCCCUCCCAGCUGUCAGCACUGUGCUAAAAACAAAACCCUUCAGCUUCCUAAACAAACAAGCUUGCAGUAUUCAGAAUGUGUCCCGGUAUGUGGUCAUAUAUUUCUGUAAGGUUCUUUAAGGACACAGGUCUUUCAAAACCAUUUCAAUGUAUGCUACAUGAGAGAUGAUUAUGUUUAACCCCAAGGUAGGAAGAGUGGUCCUGCUGCUUGGCUGGCUGUAUCUUCUGAGGUGCAUAAUUGGCUGCUCUGGUUCACAGGAAUAAAUUUCAUCUUAAAAUCUGU